UGCAGUCGAGCGAACGGACGAGAAGCUUGCUUCUCUGAUGUUAGCGGCGGACGGGUGAGUAACACGUGGAUAACCUACCUAUAAGACUGGGAUAACUUCGGGAAACCGGAGCUAAUACCGGAUAAUAUUUUGAACCGCAUGGUUCAAAAGUGAAAGACGGUCUUGCUGUCACUUAUAGAUGGAUCCGCGCUGCAUUAGCUAGUUGGUAAGGUAACGGCUUACCAAGGCAACGAUGCAUAGCCGACCUGAGAGGGUGAUCGGCCACACUGGAACUGAGACACGGUCCAGACUCCUACGGGAGGCAGCAGUAGGGAAUCUUCCGCAAUGGGCGAAAGCCUGACGGAGCAACGCCGCGUGAGUGAUGAAGGUCUUCGGAUCGUAAAACUCUGUUAUUAGGGAAGAACAUAUGUGUAAGUAACUGUGCACAUCUUGACGGUACCUAAUCAGAAAGCCACGGCUAACUACGUGCCAGCAGCCGCGGUAAUACGUAGGUGGCAAGCGUUAUCCGGAAUUAUUGGGCGUAAAGCGCGCGUAGGCGGUUUUUUAAGUCUGAUGUGAAAGCCCACGGCUCAACCGUGGAGGGUCAUUGGAAACUGGAAAACUUGAGUGCAGAAGAGGAAAGUGGAAUUCCAUGUGUAGCGGUGAAAUGCGCAGAGAUAUGGAGGAACACCAGUGGCGAAGGCGACUUUCUGGUCUGUAACUGACGCUGAUGUGCGAAAGCGUGGGGAUCAAACAGGAUUAGAUACCCUGGUAGUCCACGCCGUAAACGAUGAGUGCUAAGUGUUAGGGGGUUUCCGCCCCUUAGUGCUGCAGCUAACGCAUUAAGCACUCCGCCUGGGGAGUACGACCGCAAGGUUGAAACUCAAAGGAAUUGACGGGGACCCGCACAAGCGGUGGAGCAUGUGGUUUAAUUCGAAGCAACGCGAAGAACCUUACCAAAUCUUGACAUCCUUUGACAACUCUAGAGAUAGAGCCUUCCCCUUCGGGGGACAAAGUGACAGGUGGUGCAUGGUUGUCGUCAGCUCGUGUCGUGAGAUGUUGGGUUAAGUCCCGCAACGAGCGCAACCCUUAAGCUUAGUUGCCAUCAUUAAGUUGGGCACUCUAAGUUGACUGCCGGUGAC
This 1121-nucleotide ribosomal RNA is filed under the name Staphylococcus aureus. RNAcentral describes it as "bacterial SSU rRNA". It matches the Rfam family "Bacterial small subunit ribosomal RNA", at positions 56 to 1159 of the family's 1533-position model. Lineage: Bacteria; Bacillati; Bacillota; Bacilli; Caryophanales; Staphylococcaceae. The record is from RNAcentral.